Fukomys damarensis (Damara mole-rat) is the source of this 1235-nucleotide long non-coding RNA. RefSeq lists it as uncharacterized. Lineage: Eukaryota; Metazoa; Chordata; Mammalia; Rodentia; Bathyergidae. The transcript is spliced from 3 exons. The record is from RefSeq and is a predicted model, not a curated record.
CGACUGACCAGCGGAUGACUCGGUGCGCGCAUGCGCACAGGCGGGACGCGCCGGGCUCCGCAGCGGCUGCAGCGCAGAUCCUCGAGAGGAGGGAGAGGGUGUGCAAAAGACAACAGGAAGUGUGGAGACACCAAGGGGCUCAACUAGCAGGUUGUGAAAAAGCUGAAGAGUGAACCCAGAAAGAAACUGGUACAAGUGAAUAUAGAAAACUGAUAUUUCACUAAUGUUCUCAGAUUCAUGCUUGGUUCUGAAGAUCAGAUUUUUCUAGAUUGCUGAUUAUUCACCCAUCAUGUAAUAUACACCCACAACUCAGUGCAACUACCACUUACCCACAGUGAUUGCUUGUCUUUAGUAUUUGUUCAGAAUUCAUUGUCUGUUAUAGCACUGAUCUCCAAAGAAAGACUGUGUAUCCUUGAAGAUAUGUAAAAUAAUCCAGUAGAGUACAGGGAGUAAAUAGUAAAACUUCUGUUUGUAUUUUUGUGAUUUUUGUAGAGUAACAUUAGUACAGUAGCACAUGUAUACUAUUUAAACUUUUUAACGAUGCAUACUAAAAAUGUGUGCUAAUAACAUGAUAAAAUGUCUUUAGUGAAAGAUGCGUGUCCAGCAAAAUUUAGAGCUCAUGUCCUGUACUUCAUAUCCAUUUUAUGCUUAAGUAAUGACUGACUCUCCCUGAGGUCUGUCUUUGCUUUUUAUAGUACAUGUUUGCAGUACAUAGCAAUUAUGUUUAUCAUGAGGAGAUGAGGAGUUGAUACAUGUAUGUAAUACAUCUUAAUUCUUCUUUUUUUUAUCCCCUGCCCCUUCUGAGCCCAUACUAUCUUUCUGAUCUUUGGCAAGUUAUAAAAUUUCUCUAAUCCUCUGUUUUCUUGUCUGCAAAAUAUAAGGAAUAAUGAUACAUUGCAUAGGAUGUAAUAAUUAUUGUUUCUGUGAAGAGUUUUAUAAGAUAAAGUGCAAUUCACAUGUGUGCAAACAGAGAGCAGACAAUACCUCAUUUUUAUAUGUUCAGCAUUUUUUGCAAUAGCUAGAAAAUGGAAGCAGUUCAAUAAAUACAUAAAUAAAUGAAUGAGUGAGUCCAUGUACAGUACCAAUAACAAUCUUACAGGGAAAAGUAAGAUGUGGUAAAAAACAUAAUGAAUCACUAAGUGGGAGGAACCAAGUUGAAUCUUACUAUAUCCUUAGUGCUGUAAUAUUUGAAGAACUCAUUUUCAUUUUUACUAAGUUCAAUUCUUCCUAUAUAA